Syngnathus typhle (broad-nosed pipefish) is the source of this 477-nucleotide long non-coding RNA. RefSeq lists it as uncharacterized. The transcript is spliced from 2 exons. The record is from RefSeq and is a predicted model, not a curated record. Lineage: Eukaryota; Metazoa; Chordata; Actinopteri; Syngnathiformes; Syngnathidae.
AACAACAAGGCGUUGGCCAGCACGAGAGCCCCUCGAUGAGGACAGCUCGAACCCGGGGACAAGAUGAGCCCGAGGGCCGACCCGGCAAACAAAAGCAAGAAAAGGCUCGCCGAACCGUAGACAUGUAGCUCCCACGCAAAAGAGACAACAGAUGUGCCAUGACAGACGGCUAAUUUCUGGAGAUCUAUAUUUUUGGACCUCCAAGGAUGUCAAAGAGUCAUUUUGCCCAACUUGGAUCACUCAACAAGGAGAGGCUAACGAACCAUUGUUGACUUCCAACUUCUUCUUCUGGCCAAGCUAUUGGGUUGACCUCUUGGUUUCCGUCAAAGUGUUUGACUUCCUUCCUUGCAACUUUCAGGGGUGUGAUGUGGACACACUCCACAAUGCACAGCUGGGUGUGCUUAAUGUACCUCCAGCUUCCCCAAACCGCACGCACCGUUGGCGUGGAUUGAAUAAACAUAUGGAAGUCAUGCAAAA